UGGGGCCCUCUUCCUCAACGCCCUCACAUAACAAGAUCCAUUUUCCUUUUUGAAGAGGCCGCCGCCAAUUAGAACAUUCCUGGAGCUUCUAAUUCAGCAAGGAGAAGAGGAGGAGGAGCCAGGGGGAAGGAGCAGGGUGUUGUUUUCCUCCACAGCACAAUGGUAUUUCAGCGGGUUUAAGGCGGGGAGUCGCGUUUAAGCCUUCCUGAAUGGCACGCACGCACGCAAAGAGGAAAGAAAAAAAAAAAAAAAGAAAAAAAAAAAGAGAGAAAACCCUUCCACUCUGGAAACUGAGAGCAGGCAAAUAUCCUCCCUGCUGAAUUGCUGUUAUUAAAUAGGGGGAAACCACCCCGCAACGAGCGCGCUCCGGAGCGCGUGGUGCCUCCGAGUGCCGCGACGCGUUGCGGGGCCGGGAGACCUGCGGGCGGGCGGGGGCCGCAGCCCGAGGCGUUCACCUCGGCCCCGGCCCCGCCGCCACCCAGGUAGGAGCGAGCCGCGGCCCGGGGGGUGCUCGCCCCGGGGGGAGGGGGCGGCCCACAGCGGGCGGGGGCGGCGGGGCGGGCCGGGGGGGCGGCCCCGGCGGCGGGGGGCGGACGGGCGGGCGGCCCGGGGCGCCGACAAUGGGGCGGGUGUGGGGCCGGGUGGGUGUUUUUUUCCUGCUCCCGAGGAAACGCAGCGCGAUUCCCAGCGAGACGGCGGCGCGGCGCCGGCCUCGGCUGACGGGCGCCGAUCUGCUGAAGCCGCGCUCCCCCGCCUUCUCCCCCCACUGACGCCCGCUCGCAGGGACGUUCCGCGCUUCCGACGGCCGUUAGCGCGCCCCGCACACCCGCACCGCUCCAGCGGGGCUCCCACGUUCCGCAAUUAGGAGACGCAAGCCAAGCAGCGGCCCCGCACCGCCUCGCUGCCGGCGGAGGGGAAGGAGCCACAGAACGAGGGGAGGGAGAUUUUAUUUGUUUCCCCUCCCUAUUCCUAUCUCGCCGGCGGCCGCCCGGGCCGACCCCCGCCGCAGCCCGCGGCUCCCGGCCCCGGGGCGCCUCCCGCCGCUCCGCGCGGCUCCGGCUCCGCGUUUUGCGUGCGGCCGCGGUGUCAGCCGGGGAGCGCCGAAUAACAAAGGCAACUUGGAGAGCCCCCGCCGCCGCGCGGCCUGCCAGUGACGUCAGGGAACAAUGCCGCUGCCAGCCGGCCGCGCGCACCCGCCGCCCCGUGCGCGCCCCCCGCGCCCUUAAAGGCGCCGCGGGAGCCGCCGGCCCCCAGCCGCCCCCGUGCCCGCCGCUGCGCGGACCCAGCCGGGGGCAGCGGGCGGCAGCGCUGCCGCGGGGCGCUCACGCCCCUCCAGCCGCGCGGCCGCGGUCGGCAGCGCCGUGCCUCGGCACUACGCUCAUUUGCAAUUAGCGUCCCAUAAGGCAGCAACGCGCUGAGGUGUCACAACCUCUGGCUCAGACAAAGACGGGGGCGGACGGCGGGUUUGGAGCGUCGUUGCUCCAAACCGGCCCGAACGACAAGGUUGGCCAUUCACCGCAGCCCUGCGUGUGGCCGCAGUACGGGGCACAGCCGGCCCGCCGCAGGUAGGGGCUCCCGCUGCCGGCCCGGCUGCGCAGCGCCGCGGGGCCGCCCGCAGCGGCAGAGAAGCAAUCACCACCACCGCUCCCCGCGGUGCCCGAGGCGGGUCUGCCAACCUCGGCCGUGCCACACAACCCGCGGCGGGCGGAGACACCGCCCCCAUAGGAUCGCGUGUUAAAGCAGAACCUCCCCCCGCCCUCAGCCGUAGUUGAAAUGAAUUCUGCUGCUAUCGUAACUCAUACUACGGCCACACACCGGGAUGGAGCCGGUGAAGUAGCUCACAGGCUGGGCACGCGUCGUGCCGGGGGAGCGCUCGCAGCUCGCUGCAGCGCGGGGAGGCCUCGGGCAGCAGCCCGACCGGCCGUGCACCCACUGCUGCUGCGGUGCCCAGCCCAGGGUAACCCAGGGGAGCGCAGCAUGGGCUGUGGGAUGACGCACCUCUCCUGCGAUACACGCAGGCGACCGUAUGGGCAGCGCUGAUUCCCUACUGCCUUCUGACACCAGCAGCGCUCUCCUUCCUUUUAGCUACCCGUAGCAUCGUGUCAAGGCCAGGGGGCAGCUGGUGCUGCCCAGACACGAGGCCCUUCUGAGCUCUCACCUGACGCCCAUACGUCCGACAUCCCUCUGCUCCCUCCUUGCCGCAGCCCGCGGGCCUAUCUCACACGGAGCAGUCCAGCUGGUGCUGCCCCAAACCGAAGGAGAUGGCGUCUUCUCCUAGCUUGCUUACACGGAGCCACAGGAGCAGUGCCACGGAACACAACCACAUUACAUCGGGGGAGGCAACCUAAUGGCCAAGUGGGGCUGCAGUCAGGGUGUACACAUUUCACCAUGUGCAGACAAACUUGUGUAGUGUAUUAAAGUCUAUGGCCAUUUUAAUCUCUUAUGGAGGGGGGGGGGGGGGGGGAGCAAGGUUUAUGUGAAUUCUUUAAUUAGACAUGAAAUUGCCCUGCAAAGACAGUAAGGAAGUAUGUGGUUAUGCAACUGGAGCCCUAGAGGAAAAAGUAAACAAUUUUACUGAGAAAAACAGAUUGAAAACAAUGAUGACAUUAAGAGGGAAAUGGCUGGAGGUUUGGGCUCUCUCUUUUUUUCCCCUUCCCUUUUGAAGCCUAAGAACAUCUGCAGGUCAUCUUCAACUUGGUCCCUCUUUGGUGUUGCUCAGUAUGUACUGCUUCAGUACCGUGGUCAUUCUUGACUGGAACUUGGUACACAGCUCUGUACAGGAGCUCCAGCAUUAGGAGCCGUAGCAUCAGCACUUUUCUCGGUCACUAAGGGAAUGCAUCUCAUCUGAGCCAAGCCCUUUUUUAUGCCAAAAUUUUGCAAGUUAUUUAACAUGCCUAGAAGCCCCAAACCCUCCAUGGUGUGCUGCUGAAAGGCAGCUGGCAUAACCAAGCGCCUGGCCUUGCACAUACCAUGGCUCUGGGACCACCACCGGGCAGCUUGGUUCCCAGGGCUGCGCUUGGCGUGGGGUGUCCUUUGUGUAGCACCAGGCUCUGGCUUACAGCAUCGUGCCCAGCCCUCCCUGGCAUACCCUGCUAGGUUAAGCAAGGCGACUUGGCUAGUUUGGCAAAGGGAAUAAAGCCCUUAAAAAUGUGAUGUGGUGAGAUAGCAUUAAAAUCCAGGAUGUGUGCCUUCAAGAGUCAAGGACAUAGCUUAAAACAAAACAAAACAAAAUUUAAAAAAAAAAAAAAAGCGAGAAGAAUAGGAAGAGAAGGCACACCAUGUGAUUGUAAGUUACUGAGAAGGAACUUCACAUGUGAGCUGAGGAAAUGCAGCAUUGUAAACGUGCUAUUUAUAUAGUGCUGAAAGUGUACUUUUACAGGGACAUAAACACUCUUCACUCCAGUGCAUAUAAUCUGCCCUUCUGAAGCAGAUCAAGACAGUGCCCUGUUAGAGCCGAUUCAAUCUAAGGUCAAAAACCAAAUAAAUCUCAACUUUGAGAAACUUCAAACCAAAAUUUGGUCUGGGCCAAAGUCAUUCGACUGGACCAAGCCUUUCCCAUAACAAAAAUGAUCCUCCGAAUACUGAAGGUAAGAUCUGUAAGUAGGGACUGUGACCACUUCUGUUGUUGUUAAACUUUUUUUUUUUUUUUUUUUUUUUUUUUUUUUUUAAGCUGUAUCAUACAGAUUCGGGAGGAAAAAGUGAAAAAGAAUACAAAACUUUAUACAAGCUUUAACUUCAGGGAAGGUACCCAGGCAGAAUAUAAUUAGCAAAGCACUUUGGCUGUCUUCCAGCUGCACGCAACACCAUACUCUUGUAAAAGAGCACCCAAGGAUUUUGAAUGACCACAAAUAAUGCAAUCAUGUUAACCUUAUGUAAAACCAGACAUGCACUUAACUACCCUGAAAUCAUUUCAUUCACUAUGUUAGCAGAGCUGUCCAUGAUGUGGAUAUCAGACAGAUAGCAGUAUUUAUUCUACCAUUUGACUCUCUCCUGCUUGAUUUUUUACAAUAAAUAGGUCUUUUUUUUUUUUUUUUUUAGCCUGAACUGAAUUUUAAUUGCAAAAGAUCAUGAGAUUUAAAGAACAACAAAUGCAGCCAUUUGUAGAGCAUGCAUGCUGAGGUCCAAGAUCUACUUCUGUUUCUCCCCUUGUCUUCAGCUCUUACAUGACCCAAUCAUGAAGAAAAGAUGUCAAAUGCCACCAGCACCAGCUGGAGAGCAUCUUGCUUGAACCCUGGUCUGAGUUUAUGUGAGAGGUAGCCCCAAGCCAGCCCACCAGCAUGGAAAUAGACCAGCAAGUAAAAUGUUACUGUGAGGAGAGCGAGGACUGCUUCAAAUCAGACAGAGCUUGCCAGAACAUAAUGGUGGCUUGUAACACAGCUAAUCAUGCCGAAUAAAACAGAGCCUUAAAUACAUUCAGGACUAGAUUCUCAAUGGACCCUUCCAUUUAGCAUGUGGCAUCAAUUUUUUUUUUCCCUAACCAACUGUAUUUGGUACCACAAGGGAUGGUUAAUACAAUUUCAAAAAAAAAAAAUUCAAAAAAUAUGAAUAAAUAACCAUAAGUUGUUUACACAAAUAAACAUUCCAGGACGUGGGAUUUUAUUCAGUAAUUGCCAUAUUGGUCAUAAAACAUGCCUGAAAACCCAAAGUACUACUUUAUUGCAUUUAGCAGCAACAAUUAGCCUCUCAAUUUUUCACUGUUUUAACAGACAUGAUGGCUUUCUACUGUGAGAAUAGGCUAAAAAAAUAAGCAACGAACAAACACAACCAAAAAGCAGGCUCUUCUGUACAACCAUACGCUCCAUAGGCUUACACGCAAAAAGCCUGAGCUGUGUUUCAUGAGGCAAAAGAAACAAACGGGCGGCAGACCAUUUUCCUUCCUACAUGAGGCACUAUCUAGAGGAGAGGGAGCAGCGAGGAGUUUUGUUGCAAGGCUCUCUCAGAUGUACCACAGGCAAUUCCUUGCUGCUGAGGACCAGAAUAAGGGCAAAAGUGGAAACAAUAGGAAAAGGUACAGUCCUUAAUGCAUCACUUGCUCUAUUCCAUUGUCCACGAAACAACAGAAGUGAUGGUUGGACGUGAUGACCUUAGAAAUCUUCUCCAACUUUAAUGAUCCUAUGAAUUUUUACACUGAACCAUUUCUGUAAAACAGAGAGCAUAAGUUUUGCAAGAGGGGGGUGUUUGUGAGCUGGAACAUUUUUUCUUUGCAGAAGAUUAAUCAAGAUAAAUAAGUCAUUUGGAAACGCUUGUAGUAGAUAUUCAGGUAGACACCUGAAGCCACCACAAGGCACAAAGUCACAUCAAGAGGACUCACUUUAUGUAGACUCUUGCAGGUUCAAGACAAGAGAAGUACAGCUGUGACAGAAACUGGGGGAUUCCACUCAGGUGAACUGCAGAUGUGAGCAAAGAUACACAUAACUGAUGCAGCACAGUUACCUCGCAAUUUGGAUAAUUAACCCAUGGGUAAUCAAGUAUUGAUGGCAUUGCACUAACUGCAGAAACUAUGUCCUAGAAACAUUACUGGGAAUAUCCAUCCUGUGUUUUCACCUCCUAGAAGUCCGAUUUGGACAGCUGACUGACCUACUUCCAGCAUGUCACUGUUCCCAGCACACCAACCCCUAUCCCUAAACACAUGGUUGCUUCCAGCAAGGGAGAGAAAAGGAGGACUGGGCUACAGAUGUUCCUCGCGCAUACAAUCAACACGGCCCUCCCCCACCAAAGUUUAAUAAGGAUUGUUAGUACAUCAUUGUAGCUGGUAAUUGUGUAGGUACACAUGGUAAUUGCAUGUAUUUGCACUAAUUAUGUAAAUGCACAAUAAUUAAAGCUCCAGGGUUUUCAUGGUAAAUUUUUAAAACACUCAUGGAUUUGUCAUGGCAAAAGUGUCAGUCAUGUAACCUAGUGGGGAAGAAAAGGAGGAGGAGGCUCAGGAGUGCACACUUCUUAAAUAAAAACAGACAUUUUUGCAUGAGUAACUGGAGAGGGGAUACCAUUUUAUCAUCAAACAGAACUGUCAUGCCUGGGUACAACUUCUUUCAGACUCUCUUAUCAGUUAGAAUAAUAAUAAUUAAAAAUUAAAAAAAAAAAAUUGGUUUUCAUGGUAGGUCAUUGCUAAUGCUCAAAUACUCCCUGCCUUCUAUCCUGGCUUUCCCCACCCACCCUGCACUGCAGGUCUCAGGGCUUCCCUCUGCUCUGUGCUGCAGGGAUGAGCAAGCCUCUGCUUGGCGGGCAUGGAGGGGCCUGGGCAGUUCAGUGCUCCUUAACAACUGCAGCCGCAGAAGGAAAGGGAGCUUUGCAAACACACAGCAUGCAUCUCACUGCGAGGCAUGCAGACAAGCAGCGUAGCUGGUGUUCAGCCUCAUUGGCCACCGUACAGCUCCCUGAGCAGCCCUACUGUGCCAUGCUGGGCUCACAGGUCCUGCUCAGUGGGCAGUAUGACAGAGAGCUGUGACAUGGAGCACCAACUAGAUGUUUCACACUAAAAGCUGGCUGCUCCAAAACACACUGUGUGAGGUUUUAAUCCCUUCAGCCACAUGCUCCUUUUAUGGGUGAUACCUGCACUCAUGACACUUGCAUCCACUGGGAAGGCACCAACCUGACUUGUGCUUAAGCAGAAAUAUUCUUCCCUGUGCCACCUCAUUGCAGGUGUUCUUGUUGGCCCACACAGCACCUCUGCAGGAUUGCUUACUCAUACACAGCUUCCUCAGGACCGUUGCAACCAAGAGCCAGUACAAGAGCUUUAAGCUACCGAGGCCAAAUACCUAAAGACAAGACACAAAGGGGAGCUUCCUUGGGAUUUACAACACAGCUUUAAGAGGAUUUGGGGGACACACAGCCACACAGUUAUUUAUGUAAACCUAAGUCUAUAUACGUGGAUCAAAAAACUCCACAUACAUGGCAACUACUUUCAUUAUGCCCCAGCACAUUCCAUAUCGUUCAGGUGUUGUUUUCUUUUAGUCAUUUCUUUGAAGACACUUUAAAAAAAAUCAAAGCUAAAUUAAAACAAAACAUAAAACUAUAUGAUAAAAACUGAACAAAUCUAGUGAUACAAAAGUUAUGUUAAAAGCAGAUUUUAAUUGCUGGCGUCCAAUUAAACAAGAGAAGCUACCUUGUAUAGUGACUAUUUUCUACUUCAUUUCUAAGAAUGGACAUAUUUUCAGGAUUUUUUUUUUAUUUCCUAUGGUGUUAAGAAUGUCUGUAUCCAUGCCUGAUAGAGAUUAAAGAAAGCAAAGCAUCAUCUUAAACUUUUGGAUUUGCGGAAACAUGUUUGUUAAUGCACUGAGAAUCUUGAAGGAGUACAGGAGGAUUUCACACAACUAACUGUACUCCUUCUGAUAAUAAAUAAAUAAACGUUGCUAAAACAGUGAUCUGUUGAAUUAAUUUCCUUUAGUUUUACAAUAAAUUCAUCUGUUCCUCAGGUAAUGGGUAGAGGGUGUCUAAAAUUCUUUAAAUACAGGGUUUGUGUUCAGGACUGGAAAGCAGCUGAGUUGGGUUAUCUGUCUGUAGGGAAUUGUCCAUCUGUCUGUAGGGAAUUUAUUUUGGCUUGUUUUUGUUGUACAGCAGCAUUGUGAGGCUAAGUUAGUGCUUUAAUUUUUGUUAAUGCAGGACCAAAGGUCUUUCAGAUGUUUAUGUCUAGUGGCAGCUCGUAUCAUAAAUACUUGCUUCCAGCAUCAUGACUACACAGACUGAGUAAGCCUUCAAUCCAGCAAGGUCCCUCAGACUUGGUGCUUCUUCACAUGCCACACAAAUAUGCUUACUCAGGCAGGAAAAAAAUGCCUAAUUUAUGAGAAGUGUUUUGGUUCAUCAGAUUUGCAAAAGCAGUUUGGUGGUACAGCUGACAUUCAGAUUCCUUCGCAAGAAGAGUUGGAAGGUUGUCCUUUCUGAAAGUCAUGUCCAUGGUGUCUCAAGUUGAUAGCAUGAGCAUGAAAACACCUGCAGUUAACAGUGGGCCUAUUUCCUACUUCUGUGUGAUUCUUUUGGUCUGCAUGAACAAUAUGAAAAAAUAUUGUUAAAUAUAAGUUGAUCUAAAUAAAUACAAAUAUAUGCUUAUUGAUAUGUAUCACAAGAGGUGUUUGUGUAAUGAACUGAUUGGUCUGAGAUCCUAGCAUGAGCAAUUCUGACACAAAUGGCAACUUGGUGCUGACUGUUGGGACACACGAAGGUGUCCUUUGCUGAAUAUUUGCUACCAGAACAUCUAGGAAUGGAAGAUAUUCUUGGAAAUCUAGGCAAUGGGAUUUGCUCAAAAAUCCAUGGCAAAUACAUGACCAGAACCUGUACCUGAACCUGUUCCUGACUCGUGAGCUGAACUGGCAGGUGCCCUGUUCCAACAAGCCAGCCACAGUACAGGUGUAUUUUAAAUCACUGUGCUGAGUCAUUCUCAUUUAAAUGUAGGCUAAACCACCUGAGUGUACUGUCCUUGCUAACCUCCACAAACUCACUGUAAAGUUUUCCCUCUACAGAGCAGACAAAGCCCAUUGGCUUCAUCCCUCAUGUGAGCCACAGCCAGGCAGCUAUUGCCUAUUUGCUGCAUCACGAUAUAUGAUUACAGACAGUUGUGAGUGUUUGUUUGCUUGCUAGGCUUGUUCCUUUAAAGAGGAAGAAUUAUCCUAUUAUCUCAAGCAGAAUCACACUUGUUCCACUCUAUCUUGCCUUCUAAACUUUAAAAGCUGAAAAGUCAUCUUUUAAGUGUCUUUUUUUAGCUGAAGGAUUUUCUUUUAUUUAAUUUCUAUACAUACGCAUUUUCCACUACACAUGCUGGAAUAGUAUCUGUUUGAUUUCCUGUUAUUGUACGUAAGUCUACAUUUUUUGUCAGUGCUUUGUUUUAAACAAAGCAGAGGAACAUAUAGCAAGUUUGUCCUGAAUUAAUGGCUUCCUGACAUUUGAUGAAAUUCUUUAUACCAACCCCACUUUUCCAUAUUCCCUUUCUGGAUUUCUUUUCGUUUGGCAGCUGGCAUGUAGCAGUUAGAUCCUAUCUGGUAGCUAGAGCAAAAAGAGUCCCAAAAUGUAGAAUUACUUUUAAGAGCUCUAAAUACUACCUAGACUUCAACUUUAAAAACCUGGAAGAAUCCCAAACCCAGGAGAAAGGAUGUAUGAUGUACAUUAUCGGGCUACUGUUACGGGGAAUAGUUUAAAUACUGAAUAAAACUCAAUGAAGACUUUCAGAAUUAUUUUUGUUCAGACUUUACAGUCUUGUGGGGAAUGCAGAGGUUAGCAAUGACACCUCAAACACUAUACUGUCUUGAUAGGACUUGAAGGUUAGAUCAGGGAAGUACUGGGUAACCUAUCAAAGUCCUGAAAUCAAAAGGCAUCUUUUCUAAAAUAAAUCUCGGUGGGGAGAAUGUACACAUUCUCAUGCUGCUGUAUGUUUUGUCAUAUUCACAGGUAAAAGAAAACUAUGGGCAAUGUCUGAUAAUGCGCCUGUCCUCUACUCAGACUUGCCCCCUUCAAUGACUAGAGUCACUUCUCAAUGACUGGAGGCUCUGCAGAGUGGGGAAGUGAAAACCAGAACCCGCCUCUCCGAAGAUAAAGUUGAAAAAAAGCAAAUGAGCAAAAACAAACAAACAAACAAAAAAUACUCCCUUAACCUGGUAUCAAACAUCCAUCCUAUCUUGUUUUGAAUUGAUCUGGAGAAAAUGGUAGUUGGCAAUGACUCUUAAAUGUAUGACCAAUCAUUUUGCUUUUUUAUAGGUACGUGAAAGACACAGCUUGCCAGAGUGGAAUUCAUGUACCUCCUGAAAUAUUUAAGACACCUGCAGUGAGAUUAUUUUUCCUCUUUUAAUUUGAAGAACCUGCAUUUCUCAGUUCUGAGGCAUUUCUCUGGCGGUAAUGUGUGCCAAAUAACUGGCAGUCUGGCACAACAGCACUUAUAUUCCAAGUAUUAUAAAAGAUAGAUAACAAGAAACCUGUUGCUUUUCUUUUCAGGGGAACUGAACCAUGAAUCUUAUAUGGCAUCAGUAGGUACAGAUAUAAACCCCUCUCCACUGUUUUUCUCUGCUUCUGUGACAUAAAAUUAAGGCCCAAAUUCUACAAAAUAUUUAACAGGAAAAAUCUCACAGCCCAAAAGCUCUCCUGAGGCAGUAUUUGCAUACAAUUUGUUGCAAGAUUAGGAUCAGAGGUUUUUUUCUCCCUAUUUUUCUACCUCAUUGGGUGUUAUUCUGGCAUUGCUAUGUUUUUCCAUUUACAUUGUUUUGACUAGAGUCAAAAUUGUUGUUACAUUUUAAGUCAGUGUCUGCUCUACUAAUUGAUGGGCUGCUAAAGAUCAGCCACGGAGAGUUAGAUUUCAGAGCAAGAAUCUGGCUCACAGAAGAAGUGAUUACAUGAGAUAUGUAAGGACCAAAGCCUGUAAGACCGAUUCAAACCCUAAAUGAUUUGACCAAGAGUACAAGGCUGUGAUACAUUCACAGUGAAAAUAUGGCACCUGGUCACAGUGUCUGGCUUCCACUUCUUCCAUCCAACUUUAGCUGUCCUCCUUUUGCAGAGGUCAAAGCAUUGUAUAAAUAUCAGUUAAGCAGAGUAAAAUCAGCUCCUUUAAAAUAUUUAGCUACCAUCUACCAGUGCUUUAUAAUAUGAAGAACAUACCUCUGCUCUCCUGGAACAUGGCAGGAAGCAGAAGUUUCUCUUUUGAAGGCAAUGAAGUUCCUCUGCAUCUGACUUCCAAGCAGUGUCUAACCUUGCUAUAUAUUUUAAUCUAACAGUAAGAUUUUUACUUCAGAACUUGUUUUCAUUCUGAAUCUGAGAGAGAAAGUGGGCACACUGUAGAUUUCUUGUAAAAAAUUUGUAUAACCAUGCUUAUCAAAUUUUAAACAGUAGCACCAGUAUUGCAAUACUUACUUUACCAUUAUAUUAAAAACAAAAGCAACUGAAAGGAAAGUCAGCACGAAAAGUUUUCCUCUUAUCAGAGUAAAUGAGAAUAUUGAUAUAAUGCAUUUCUGCUCUCUGCCUUUUAAAAUGGCAUUGAAAGCAACACAUUCUUACAAUAAAGUUUGCAUUUCACUCAAAGUGCAUUUUCCAACUGGAAAGUGUAAAGGCGAAUAUUUCAGGAUUGGUCCUACUUGAUGGUGCUUUGCAAAUACUCUCUAUUAACCUGAAUGACUGCGUAAGGUAGAGGAAAUCGGUAAACCUGGCCCUCUGAGAGCAGAGGAGCAAGUUGUUAAUGUUAAUGGGUAUCAAUUCACAUAUAUUUGCUUACAGAGAUCUGUGGCAGCUCUGAGUGUUUCACUGUGUCCAAUUUCUUCUUGCAUAAAUAAAGAAGAGCAUGAAUACUUGAAAAGAUGAAGGCUUCUCUGGAGCAGAAGAGCCAGAACUACUACAAGGAAAUUCUUGUGCUUCUUUAAUUACCCUCCUUUGCCCAUAGGUGGAAUUUCCACUCGGACAGCCCCAGCAAGCAGACUGCUAGCCUGGGAAGAGAUGUCUGUUUGUCUUUGUACAGCAAACACUGGCUGUGUUGUGCAGCUCAAGCUUCUGAUUCAAAUGAUUUCCUGAAUUCAUUCUGCUUCAUACCUCAGGGAAGGAAGAGGUGAUCCUCUUGAAAAUUCAUAUAAUUGCUUUUAUUUGAUUUUUAUUAAACCUCAUUCAAGAAUAAUGUGAUGGCUUUCUUUAUUACAUUGUUCAUCACUGCGGCAUUUUUUGAAUUUACUUUGCUAAAAGAAGCAGUUUACUAAGCCAAAGAUUGAAUUCAAGGAUUUUUGCAGAGAGAAAGCUGAGAGCUUUUUUCAAGUUCCUUUGAUUUCAAAGACUUUUGUAACAUUGAUACCCAUCUAAGAUUAUCUCUGCUUUUAUUCUCUAGUAGCUUGAACAUCUCUCCAGGCCUGAGCAGUCAGGCCAUUCUGCAGUGUGCCAUGUGUGUGUGCUGGGAUUCAGCAGGGCCAGCUGUGCCGCAGCUUCAACCCAGCUCGGCCUGAGUGCCAGGGAGCUGCCAGAGUGCCCAACCCACUCCCCUCCCCAUACCAGCCGUCCCACCACCUGCUUAGGCUGCCUCUUGCUGCCAUGCUGAUGGCAGUGGACAAAGGGAAAGGCUGCAGCUGUAGUGUGGAAAGCUACAGCAAGGAGUGGGUUCAUUGACCCCCCUCUAAAUUCUUUGUAGCUGCCACAGAGAUUGCUCCCAUUUUAAAAUUGGGAUGACUGAUGCAGAGAAGCAAAGUAAAUAAUCUGCACUUAGCAUGAAUAAAAGUAGCCGAGCAAUUAAAAUUCAGAACUGGCAACUUCAUGUCACUAGCAUCAAGCUAUACAGAUUUGGAAAAUUUGAUCUAUUUACCUCUUUGCCACUGGUGUGACAUCAUCUACUGUCCAUCAGUAACUCACACACAGAGCUACCUGAAGUGCAAUUUUAUGAGACUUUUUAAAGAGAAUUAUUUUUGGUCAUUUAAAGAUAGGUGUUUAGGAACAUGAGAAUGUUCAUAUAUUAUUAUAGCAAUUUUCCCCUCUUUUCCAUUUUAUCACAGGAAAUAACAUCUCAAAACACUAUGAGUACUUUGUAGAAGGUUCUUUUUUAUCUUAAAAAGUUUUUAACAAGAGUCCAGUCAUCUUAGUUAAUCCCUUUAAGCCAUGUCAAUAUUUAUUCUUAAGUAGAGUUUCAAAUAUUAGAGCAGCUGCACUCAGCUUAAUAGGGACAAUUCCCAUUGACUGGGAAUUAUGGCCAAGUACUGCAGGGGCUGACCUUGAGUCCUCAGGCCUACAGUUUAAAUGGCAAUAAGGGUGGCGGUGUGUCUGUUGGUUUAUGCCUCUGUCUGUAGGUAAGCACAAACCCCAGGGCUGCUUAAGGACCCUUAAUAAGCACUGCAGCUACUUCCCAGGGCUCUGGAAACCCUGUGUGAGGUGAGGCAUGUAUUUUUUAUGCUACUGGCAUCUAGACUUCUGUUUUCUAACAGUGACAGAAUAAUGGCAAUGGAUUUGGGAUAAAAGACAGGCAGAUGUACCACCAUUUCAUCAUAUAGUUACUCCUCAUCCCUCUUUCCUAAGGCAAGAAACAGGUUACUUCAUAUCACAUGGAGUACCUUGCCUUUGCCCCUCUCUCAGGGCAGGUGUGUUUGAGUCAGAGAACUUCGCUGUUCCAAGAGUCAGCUGGCAUUACGCUCUCUAAGACCCUCCAAAAGAGUGCUCUGCUCACAACCUCUAAAUUAAACUGAUCACCAGUUUUCUGGGCAGGAUUUUUUCUUCCAUUUAAAAGUUCUCUUUUUCUUUGCUUUAUUUCCGACAACACAAAACACAGUUGCUGUCUAUAGCCAUAGGGAAGUUUUAUUCAGUAAGUCCUCUGCUACCGUGGUGACACAGGAUUUUCAUGGUAGUACUGAUUCCUUUGUUGUCUUUCUGUGGUACUACAUUACAGCUAUGGCUUUUUUUUUCUUUCCUUUUCCUUUUCCUUUUCCUUUUCCUUUUCCUUUUCCUUUUCCUUUUCCUUUUCCUUUUCCUUUUCCUUUUCCUUUUCCUUUUCCUUUUCCUUUUCCUUUUCCUUUUCCUUUUUUUCCAAGCAGAGGUUUUAUUUCUCCUGAGGAACAUUAAGAAGUAUUUCCCUCCCUGGGGAUGUGGAUUCUCCAUUCUGAAGAAGCCUGGGUCAUUGGAUGUCUCUUGCACAGAGAACACUUCGGAUGUCUCCGCCAGUGUUCCCAGAAAAGGGAGAUGUUUCCUGUCUGGUAGUACAGAGCAGCUGAUCAUUUCCAUGUUAUGCUGAACACAAAAACUGGACCCACUCUCAUAGUCCUCAGUGUGGGGCACCAUGUGAAUACAAAGAAGACAAUGACUGAAGGAGUUUUAAUCUUCCCUGGCCUCUCAGAUACCUUGGGGGACUCCUGGCCUUGGACCCCCUGCUCCCUGUCAUUUUUCUGACCACUUCUGGUGGGAUCCUGUGCUGUUUGCACUUAAAGUUACUGAAGUGAACCGAAAAUUGUAAGUCUCCAGCAAAGAUUAAAUGGCACAAAAAGGUGAGUAAAUAUAAACAGUGAAGUGAAAGAAGGUGGCUAGGCUUGAGAGCAGCAAGUACUAAAUGAUGUAUUUCAUAAGACCUUGAGCCUGCACUUUCCUAACAUGUUUUUAUAACAUGAUUCUAAAGGCUCCAUCUGCUUAACUUUUUCCUUCCAGAUUAAUGAUCGUUUUAGGACAACUCAGAUUUGGUUACUGUUAGCUCUAACAUUUUCAGAGAGGCUGACUUCCCCAUCAUGAGAUAAAUUGCUAGGAUAUAUGGUGCAUGCAGAGAAUUUUCUGGUCCAAACUGGAACAAUCUCUCUGCAUAGGCACAUUUACUUUUAAUUAAAAAAAACAAAAAACAAACAAACAAAAAACAAACAAACAAAAAAAAACCUGUAGAUAAUUCCAUGCUUUUCACAGUAUUAACUUCACAGACAAAAACAAAAAAUCAAAAUGUUAACCCUGUCUCUCUUAUGUCUUCCAGUGUUCAAUUCCAUUCUGGUAAAGGUUUGCUACAAUUAAUCAUUUUUACAACUAUUUUAGGCUUAAAUCCCUUAAAAAACGUUCUGGAUCUGGAAUCUGACUAAAUCAGAAAUGAAAGAAAAUGUUUCCCAUUGCUUUCUGCUGAUGCUGAAGAUUUUGCAUAUUAGUCUAAUGUAACCUUGUAGUGUUGAGGUGUCCUCCAGGCUGGCUCUGGAGACCCCGCCGGCUGCUGCAGCUGCUGUGACUCCUGCUGCACUAAGAGCUUUUACAUCUGAGUGCUCUGCAGUAUAAAUGGGCAGCAACACUGCUUCUUUGCUUGGUCUCCCUGGAACAACUCUAAAAUAAACCCGCAUAUAUCAAAUAAACUCUGUGUGUUCUUUCUGUCACAGAGUGUUUGCCAUCUGGAACAGUUUCCUUAGGGCUGGAGAAUCUUUUUCCUGAAGACUGCACCCCCACCAGGCUACUGAAGCAUGUUUGUCUUUUUGUGUCUCCUACCCAAAAGCCUCCUUUUAUACAUCAGGAGUCAGUUAGGAGCUUUAUUACCAUUUCCUGGUCCCAGUGUUGAUCAGAACAAGACUUCUGUUAAGCUCUGUUGUCCCUUAGCAGUCGUUGCAUAGAUGACAAUCCACUUCAGUGUACAGUGGAACUCAAACACACAAAUGUUCAAAGCAGUAGAGCAGAUAGGCAACAAAUCUCAUCAUUCACAUUUAUCUUGCCCGGGUUUGAUUUGCAGUUUUGGUGCAGACGAAUCAUUUUCUUCUUGGAAGAAACUAAACCAGAAGCUCUGCUUCUGGUGCACUCUAGUUGUGCUAACCCCCCUUGCAGGGACAAAAGCAGUCCUUAGAAAACAUUUAAACCACAUGCAUUUUGGUUGUCCAGUCUAGACAAACUAAAUAGAAUCUAAAGUAAAAUGCCAGACUUCAUGCACUCUGGAUGUAGAGCCCUCACAGCACAUUGCAUUGUCACACUCAUCUGCUCCUCCUAUGCCUAAUUGCUUGUUAAUGCAGACAAAGGCAGAGGCACAAAAAACAUACAGCAAUUCCUAUCAUCAGCUUCCUAAAAUCAAAAAGUUCAUCAGUUUCUGAGAACAUUUAAACUCCUGGCUUAUGUCUCUAGAUGGCUAGCAUUGUACAGAUGGUAUAGUGUACCAUGCAUACACAGUUGAAUUUGGUAGAUGCCUUCUUUUGGUGUUAUGUUAAUUAAUGGAUUUUUAUGUGAUGAAAAGAUGGGGCAAGAAGAGAGAUCACCUACCAUUAUUUCCCCUAUUGGAAACUGUGAUUCUGUCUUUAAGCACUGAGAUGUGGUCAGCCUGCAGAGCAGUUUAGGAUAACAAGUGAAGACUGCUAUCAUGUCCAAUUACUCUCAAAAGGAAAUUAAGAGAGGCAGAAUAUAAUUACUCAAACUGGAACGUAGCCAGAGUGUUGGGGUGAUCAUUUGCUAUAUGAUCAUUAAUGACUGUGGUAGAUAACUGUGGAUUUAAUGCCACGAGGUAAAUAUUCCCUCUCACCAAGGAGUGUGCUCGUUAAGAAAAAUAUGGAUGCAGUCAUAAAAGAAUGUUAAUUGAAUCCUGUGUAUGACUGAGCAUUCAUCUUCCAAAACCAAGCAUCAGUACUAACACCACUCAAAACACACAGAAAUGCUGCUUGGCAUCUAAUGAGAGUAGGGAAUCAAAAGGGUUCUGUAUGGUAUACAUCCAUAUUUUUGAUUAUGAUGAUAUGGCAUCAGAUGAAAUUAUUGCAGUUAGUUCAGAUUGUCCUCUUUAUAACACUGCAGAAGUAAAUGUAUAAGGAGGCAAGGAAAACUGCUAAACAUUAUUGAUUUAAAGAAUUACCAGAAAUUCUAGGUAUUAAAAUAGCUUUUUGAGGUUUCGUGGAAGCCACAGUGUUUAACAAAUUAGAUUACCAUUCAAUAGAACUUCACAGUUCUCCCAAACAGAAAGAUAAACAAUAUAUGACAAUUGCUUUACCUUUUACUGCAAUGCAGCAGACACAUAACAGCAUUAUCAAUAGAGAUGUGAAAAAAACUCAGCACUUGAGGACUUUCUAAAUACUUUGCUAGAAACAGAUAGCUUGCUGAAUUAGUGACUACAGCAGCCAGUGCCUUUGCUUUGCAGCUUGCCUGAAGUAGGACACAUCUUGCACUGGCUCAGUCAGAAAUGUCCCUCUGCUGCAAUCUGAGUGCUGCGCCUGUCGAUGUUUCUGUAAGAAAGAGAUGAGGAGAGGCAUCUCAAAGUUUUUACCAGCUAGAGGGGCAAUAGUUAAUGUAAUGGUUACAGAGGAAGAUCCUGGAGCGAUGUCACUCAGGUCAAAACUGAAAUAUAUCAUCUACUAAUGUCAUUUAUUGAAGGUUUCUUUCCUUUAACAGAACUGCAGUUCCUCAAAAAGUUCUUGCUCUGGCUGAUGUUUUGCAAGGAUGUCUUGAUAGACUGGAAAGUACUUUAAAUCCAGCUCCUUGAUAAAGAACUGGAAAUUUAAAAUGCAUGAAGCUCGAUCCAGAACUUGCGCAAGUCCAUAAGACAUCAUCUUCAACAUAUGGGGACAGGUUAGGCUUUAAUUCAAACUGAAGAGCUUUCAGUAAGGUUCAUCUAAACCCAUAGAAAAUGGGGAAGAUGUUUGUGAAGAGGCCAGGCAAGGGAUAGCAGCCUCUUCUGUUACCGCUCUCAGGAAGUCCCACAAGCCUUUCUGUGCUUCUGGAAGAGCUCGAGGGAAGAGACCUGCUUGACUCGAAUCAAAAGAAUCUUGUUAAAAAUCUUCAAGCCACCGAGAGAGCUGCUUAUAUUAGCAUGGUUAUUUAGUCUGGAAAAAGGACUUCAUUGCAUUCGUCCUUUGGAGGCCCGGAGUGCCAGCUGCAGCUCUGAGAAAGGAAAUUCCAGCUAGCACAGAGUGCUCCUGUUCUCAUUGCCUGCACAGCCUGCUCAUGGUAGGGGCUUCUGGAGGCUUCCUGACCCUCUCUCACCCACUGCUUUUUUCUCUGAGCAAGGAGCAGCUGUUAUAAGCAUGUCUGAUCAGAGAAUCAUAGGAUUAUUAAGGCUGGAAAAGUCCAUUAAGAUCAUCCAGUCCAACUGUCAACCCAUUGCCACAAUGCCCCCUAAACCAUGUCCCUCAGUACCUCAUCUAUACAGUUUUUGAACACCUCCAGGGACAGUGAUUCUACCAUCUCCCUAGGCAAUCUCUUCUGAUACUUCACCAUUCUUUCUGAGAAGAAAUUUUUCCUAAUAUCCAACCUGAAAGGAAGGAUAGGAUCAAUAGCUCUGAAGGAAGGGACCCGAUCUGCCACCCGAGGCAGCGCUGCCAGCUUCACUGAUCUUUCUGGCAGAAGAUAACCAGAAGAAAUGAGAUAUGGAGCUGGCAAAGAGACCAUAAGAUCAGACUUAUUUCAGCACAUCAUGUUUAAUGAAUGAACAGGAGCAGUAAAUCCCAUCAGGUCUAGGUCUCAAGUAGUUCAAGAUCUUUGCAUGGCUGGAGAGGUGAAGUCUGCAGUGUAGUGCACCAAAUUUUGUCACUCUCUUACUUCUGGACAUGUAAAGGCAGCUAACAGCACUUCACCUAGCCUGACACUGCUGCUAUUCAUGAACAGGAAAAUAAAUAGCACAACUUUGAGCAGAAAACUCUUAACUGAAAAAAAAACCAACAAGUGCAUCAAAGAAGGAUCCUUUAUGACACCAUUAUACCGAGGCGAUGAUUUUUCUCUUUUCAACUGAAACUACAAGAAGUGGGCCUCUCACGAACCAUAGAACAGUGGUGGCCAUCUCACAGGGGGUGAGGGAUUUUAUGGACCAUUCAGCAUUUCACACCACUGACUGAAAUGAAGAGGAACUUCAUUCUUGCAGAGACAUGGAGAGCAAACAUGGGAGCUGGAACAUGCUGCUUUGUACAGAAAGAAAAAAACACAACAAACCAUGAAUCAAGUGCUGUCAGUUAGCUGCUCUGUGGAUUGUCUCUGAUAGUCUAUGGUGUGGGGUGCUGGGCAGUGGACACACUGUGGCCGGGCUGAGGCUGGCUUCUGGAGCUGGCUAAGAGCAGCUCCUGCCUGUGUGUGAGUGCGUGGUCAGGAAGUACAACAGGGAACAACAGUCUGGGGGCUGAGAACAAGAUGUUAGGAUGUGGGGUUAUGAAGUAGAGGAUGAAGCAAGACCUGAAGCAGGUGGGAAGGCUAGAGGGAAGAAUUUGAAACAUUGUUGUACUUCCCAAAUUUUCUGUUUGGCUUACAUGAGAGGUUUAAGGGGAAAGAAAGAGGCACCUGACAGUGUUUACAGCAGUGAGCCUAUAGAAAGUUAUUCCUUCCAUAUCCUUCUCCUUUGGGCUUCCAAAGUUGCUCUGUUUUACUUCCACUGUUACAGCCGAGCACUCACACAGAGGCCUUGGAGCAAAUCUGCAGCGCAGCUUUAUUUCCACCCUCUUAGUAUAUAUCCAUAAAUAAAGUAAAACCUUGGAUGGCAUAGUGAUCUUCAAGAAUGCUUCAGCUUGAAUAAACCUUUAUGGCAAAACCACAACCCUUUCCUUACGAGUCAAGCAAAAUUCAUCUGAUUUAUAUCUUUUGUUACUAUCAUAAUGGGUCCCACUGAGACUUACCAGGUUUCUCUGUUUCCUGGCAGAUAAAUCAACAUAUGUGCAGAAGAUAUCAAGAGGUGGGUCAGUUGGGGUAACAGUGCAUAGUCC
Molecule: long non-coding RNA, 19034 nt
Filed under: Gallus gallus (chicken)
Lineage: Eukaryota; Metazoa; Chordata; Aves; Galliformes; Phasianidae
Source: RNAcentral